RNAcentral lists this ribosomal RNA (415 nucleotides) under uncultured bacterium. RNAcentral describes it as "bacterial SSU rRNA". It matches the Rfam family "Bacterial small subunit ribosomal RNA", at positions 355 to 787 of the family's 1533-position model. The record is from RNAcentral.
UGGGGAAUAUUGCACAAUGGGGGAAACCCUGAUGCAGCGACGCCGCGUGAGCGAAGAAGUAUUUCGGUAUGUAAAGCUCUAUCAGCAGGGAAGAAAAUGACGGUACCUGACUAAGAAGCCCCGGCUAACUACGUGCCAGCAGCCGCGGUAAUACGUAGGGGGCAAGCGUUAUCCGGAUUUACCGGGUGUAAAGGGAGCGUAGACGGACUGGCAAGUCUGAUGUGAAAACCCGGGGCUCAACCCCGGGACUGCAUUGGAAACUGUCAGUCUAGAGUGUCGGAGGGGUAAGUGGAAUUCCUAGUGUAGCGGUGAAAUGCGUAGAUAUUACGCAGAACUCCGAUUGCGAAGGCAGCAUACCGGCGCUCAACUGACGCUGAGGCACGAAAGCGUGGGGAUCGAACAGGAUUAGAUACCC